Molecule: unclassified non-coding RNA, 373 nt
Filed under: Hevea brasiliensis (rubber tree)
Lineage: Eukaryota; Viridiplantae; Streptophyta; Magnoliopsida; Malpighiales; Euphorbiaceae
Source: RNAcentral
GAGAUCACAGCUCUCUUAAGCUUCCUCCUGGAUUUCGUUUCUGCCCAACUGAUCAAGAACUCGUCCUCCACUUCCUCUAUAGCAAAGCUUCCCUCUUGCCUUCUCAUGAAAUCAUUCCUGAUCUCCAUCAUCUUCAUCCUCUUGAUCCAUGGAACCUCCAUGGUAAGGCCCUUUCUAGUGGAAACCAGUGGUAUUUCUUUGCACAUAUGAUGGAAUUUGAGAGCCAGCAGCAGGUCACAGAGAAUGGACUGUGGAAGCAACUGGAUGUUCAGCAACCUAUCUUUAGUGAUUCUGGUAACAAGAUUGGAAUCAAGAAUUAUCUCGUCUACUAUAUCGGCCAACAUCCUGCUGCUAUAGAAACCAAUUGGAUGAU